This 468-nucleotide ribosomal RNA is filed under the name uncultured bacterium. Its description in RNAcentral is "partial 16S ribosomal RNA". It matches the Rfam family "Bacterial small subunit ribosomal RNA", at positions 28 to 507 of the family's 1533-position model. The record is from RNAcentral.
GACGAACGCUGGCGGCGUGCUUAACACAUGCAAGUCGAACGGAAAGGCCCUGCUUUUGUGGGGUGCUCGAGUGGCGAACGGGUGUGUAACAUGUGAGUAACCUGCUCUUGACUUUGGUAUAACUUCAGGAAACUGGGGCUUACACCGGACAGGUGCCCCCGCCGCGUGGUGGGGGGUGGAAAGUUUUGGGGGUUGGGGAUGGACUCGCGGCCUAUCAGCUUGUUGGUGGGGUAGUGGCUUACCAAGGCUUCGACGGGUAGCCGGCCUGAGAGGGUGACCGGCCACAUUGGGACUGAGAUACGGCCAGGACUCCUACGGGAGGCAGCAGUGGGGAAUAUUGCACAAUGGGCGGAAGCCUGAUGCAGCAACGCGGCGUGCGGGAUGACGGCCUUCGGGUUGUAACCCGCUUUCGCCUGUGACGAAGCGUGAGUGACGGUAAUGGGUAAAGAAGCACCGGCUAACUACGUG